Molecule: long non-coding RNA, 561 nt
Filed under: Gallus gallus (chicken)
Lineage: Eukaryota; Metazoa; Chordata; Aves; Galliformes; Phasianidae
Source: RNAcentral
GGAAAGGGUUUAGGGAUGGGUAGAAAGUGUGUCAGAAGGCAUGAACAAGGCACAGCAUGCUCGUUCCUGGAUGCUUUAUUGAGCAUGAUGCUCCCCCAGGUGCUGGCGGCUCCAGGUCCGUCCUGGUGGUGGGGGGCUACAGGUGGAGCUGGAAGACUUCUGCAGUGCAUGGCUUCAGGCCAGCGAGGUCAGACAGUGGGGCUGAGAGCCCAGCUAUGCUCCACUGCUCCCCCACCACUGCAUUGGAGCUGUGGUAGGACUGGAGUUGGAUCCCUGCUUUCCCCAGCAGCCCAGUGAGUGUGGGAAGUGCGUUUGUCUCCGAUGCUUUGGCUCUAUAGAUGAGGAGAGGGCCCACCAGUGGUGCCGGCUGCUUGAAGGUGGCCCCAUUGAGCUCCCGCAGCACUGGACUGCUGCCCUGCACUGUUCCCGUCACCCGGUGUGGGGUGCCCUGCAGGGCCACCUGCAGCAAGCCCUCGGGCUCAGGGCAUGUGUCACCAUGGGUGGCUGUGACCUUCAGGCCAGCCUCCUGGGCCAGCAGCAUGGCGUUCACCAGGGUCGCCU